AUUCACAAAAGUCUUAUCUUUAACAGCUGGUUAUCUCUAACAAGAAAUCUUUACACGUUAAAAACCUUAAAUAAGAUAUAUUUACAUGCUGGUUUUAUUCAAGUUACGUUGUAAUCACAUCUAAGUUAAACAUCAUGAAAGUCGCUGUAUUCGCCGUCCUCAUCUGUGCUAUGGUUGCUGUAAAUGGGGCACCAAGCAAACGAUUUCUAGAGAAUAUCAACUUCACUGGCUUAAAUCUUUGCCCAUCUCCCGCUUUGUGUUUAAUUAAUCCAUGUGCGCUAUCUACAUGUCCCGGUAAUCCUGAUGCUACCUGCAGUCAAGGAUGUACUUGUUCUGCUGUAUGGACUAAUGCUUCUGGUAAAACGGUCAACUGUUAUCGAUACUAAAAACAUUUUAAAAUAUUAUAUAUUUGUGUUUGAAAUAAAACUAAAUGAGACAUUAAUCAUGAGAUAUAAUUGGUU
Patella vulgata (common limpet) is the source of this 461-nucleotide long non-coding RNA. RefSeq lists it as uncharacterized. The record is from RefSeq and is a predicted model, not a curated record. The transcript is spliced from 4 exons. NCBI's taxonomy places the organism in Eukaryota, Metazoa, Mollusca, Gastropoda, Patellidae.